UUUCGUUUUUUAAUUCAUGAGACAAAUUUGCUAAACACAUGAUUUAUUGAAUUCUACGGUAUGUGUUGUUGUUAGUGCGGAGUUUUAUUUCUUGGAUAUUGGAUAUUUUAUUUGGAAAUCGUAUUCCAUGAUGUACUUUUUGUGUGACGACCGAUGGAUGCACCUCUUUCGUUAAAGUCAUCGAAGCGGGAGUACCUCAAGGAAGUGUGUUUGGCCCCACUUUAUACUCUAUCUUCUCCUCGGAUAUGGCCACCCAUACAGCAGUCACUGGACUAGAUCGCAAAGAUGUGCUGAUUGCGACACAUGCUGAUGACACCUCAGUCCUGACAAAGAGUAACAGCAUUACCGAGGCAUCGGAUGCACUGCAAAAGUACCUGGAUGCAUUUCAGAAUUGGGAACGUCUGCAUCAACGCGAAAAAAUGUGCAAAUGUAACUUUCACAAACAGAACAAAAAGCUGCAGCGACGUCUCACUUAAAGGAAGAGUGCCUAACCACAAGUCAUCUUACAAAUACCUCGAAGUGAUCUUAGAUAGGAAAUUAAUAUUUGGAAGGAACAAUACGGCGACCAAGGUUUCUAAAAUGCCGUGGUUGAUUGCUGCCCGCAACAAACUUUCCAUCGCCAACAAGGUUAAAAUCUACAAGACCAUAUUAGGUACUGACCUAUUCUAUGCCAUACAGGUGUACGGGAUCGCUGUCAAAGCGCACCUGAAUAAAAUUCGGGUUCUCCAGGCAAAAACGCUCAGGAAGAUCACAGGCGCUCCUUGGUACAUGAGGGUCCAGAGACAUUGAACGUGAUCUGAAGGUGCCAAAAAUUGGAGACAGGAUUCAGGAGUUAGCAAAAAAAUAUAAUGAUAGGCUAGAAUCUUAUCCCAAUAGCCUAGCGAGGCGACUUAGUAUCGCAGCCCAAAGUCAUCGGACUAGAACGAGAAGACUGAAACAUUACCACCCUCAAGACCUGAUUAACCGUGACUUAACCUGCUACAUAUAAAUCCUUUCAAUUCUUUACUAUAUAUUAUUAUUCCAUUUCCGUUAAUAACCACCUAAUGUUAUCUUUGUAAAUAACUUAGAUAUCAAUAAAAAUUCGUUCAAAGUAACUCAGA
Long non-coding RNA from Drosophila santomea, 1100 nucleotides. RefSeq lists it as uncharacterized. NCBI's taxonomy places the organism in Eukaryota, Metazoa, Arthropoda, Insecta, Diptera, Drosophilidae. The transcript has 2 exons. The record is from RefSeq and is a predicted model, not a curated record.